Molecule: ribosomal RNA, 253 nt
Filed under: uncultured bacterium
Lineage: Bacteria
Description: partial 16S ribosomal RNA
Rfam family: Bacterial small subunit ribosomal RNA
Source: RNAcentral
UACGAAGGGGGCUAGCGUUGUUCGGAAUCACUGGGCGUAAAGGGCGCGUAGGCGGCGCGACAAGUCAGGCGUGAAAGCCCCGGGCUCAACCCGGGAAUUGCGCUUGAUACUGUCGUGCUUGAGGCCGGGAGAGGAUGGCGGAAUUCCCAGUGUAGAGGUGAAAUUCGUAGAUAUUGGGAAGAACACCGGUGGCGAAGGCGGCGCUCUGGACCGAGACUGACGCUGAGGCGCGAAAGCGUGGGGAGCAAACAGG